Molecule: long non-coding RNA, 264 nt
Organism: Sander lucioperca (pikeperch)
Lineage: Eukaryota; Metazoa; Chordata; Actinopteri; Perciformes; Percidae
Exons: 3
Source: RefSeq, a predicted model, not a curated record
CGUCUGCACCGGGACUGCUAUUUUCACACAACACCCGCCAGGGUGGGGGCCACUGUAUUAUGUCUCGUCCUCAUUUGUUAUUAUUACUCAAUGUACUUUGCUCGAGGCCACUGUGACCCGAACUAUCUUAUAGUUAUGGCUUAAGCUAAAUAAGCAUACACCAAAACACACUUGGUCUCUUAUGGAAACCUUUUACAUUCUUAUUAUAUUUAUCUGCAAAUAGUAAGAACAUUAUUCUACAAGAGGAUCAAAAAAAGCAUGAUG